This 615-nucleotide ribosomal RNA is filed under the name uncultured bacterium. RNAcentral's name for it is "bacterial SSU rRNA". The stretch from base 1 to 519 matches the Rfam family "Bacterial small subunit ribosomal RNA", at positions 338 to 873 of the family's 1533-position model. The record is from RNAcentral.
CCUACGGGAGGCAGCAGUGGGGAAUAUUGGACAAUGGGCGAAAGCCUGAUCCAGCAAUGCCGCGUGAGUGAUGAAGGCCUUAGGGUUGUAAAGCUCUUUUACCAGGGAUGAUAAUGACAGUACCUGGAGAAUAAGCUCCGGCUAACUCCGUGCCAGCAGCCGCGGUAAUACGGAGGGAGCUAGCGUUGUUCGGAAUUACUGGGCGUAAAGCGUACGUAGGCGGUUAUUCAAGUCAGAGGUGAAAGCCUGGAGCUCAACUCCAGAACUGCCUUUGAAACUAGAUAGCUAGAAUCUUGGAGAGGUGAGUGGAAUUCCGAGUGUAGAGGUGAAAUUCGUAGAUAUUCGGAAGAACACCAGUGGCGAAGGCGACUCACUGGACAAGUAUUGACGCUGAGGUACGAAAGCGUGGGGAGCAAACAGGAUUAGAUACCCUGGUAGUCCACGCCGUAAACGAUGAUAACUAGCUGUUCGGGCUCUACGAGCUUGAGUGGCGCNGCUACGACAUUAAGUUAUUCCGUCCGUCGGGUAGGUACGGUCGCGAAGAAGUUAAAACGUAACAAAUAGAAGUUAGUACGGACGUGAGACGUCGCCGACGGACGACGACGAGGGAGGAGG